UUUUAUGGAGAGUUUGAUCCUGGCUCAGGAUGAACGCUGGCGGCGUGCCUAAUACAUGCAAGUCGAGCGAACAGACGAGGAGCUUGCUCCUCUGACGUUAGCGGCGGACGGGUGAGUAACACGUGGAUAACCUACCUAUAAGACUGGGAUAACUUCGGGAAACCGGAGCUAAUACCGGAUAAUA
Molecule: ribosomal RNA, 184 nt
Filed under: Staphylococcus epidermidis
Lineage: Bacteria; Bacillati; Bacillota; Bacilli; Caryophanales; Staphylococcaceae
Description: partial 16S ribosomal RNA
Rfam family: Bacterial small subunit ribosomal RNA
Source: RNAcentral